Molecule: ribosomal RNA, 497 nt
Filed under: uncultured bacterium
Lineage: Bacteria
Description: partial 16S ribosomal RNA
Rfam family: Bacterial small subunit ribosomal RNA
Source: RNAcentral
GAUGAACGCUGGCGGCGUGCCUAAUACAUGCAAGUCGAGCGAACAGACGAGGAGCUUGCUCCUCUGACGUUAGCGGCGGACGGGUGAGUAACACGUGGAUAACCUACCUAUAAGACUGGGAUAACUUCGGGAAACCGGAGCCAAUACCGGAUAAUAUAUUGAACCGCAUGGUUCAAUAGUGAAAGACGGUUUUGCUGUCACUUAUAGAUGGAUCCGGGCCGGAUUAGCUAGUUGGUAAGGUAACGGCUUACCAAGGCAACGAUGCGUAGCUGACCUGAGAGGGUGAUCAGCCACACUGGAACUGAGACACGGUCCAGACUCCUACGGGAGGCAGCAGUAGGGAAUCUUCCGCAAUGGGCGAAAGCCUGACGGAGCAACGCCGCGUGAGUGAUGAAGGUCUUCGGAUCGUAAAGCUCUGUUAUUAGGGAAGAACAAAUGUGUAAGUAACUAUGCACGUCUUGACGGUACCUAAUCAGAAAGCCACGGCUAACUACGUG